Molecule: transfer RNA, 57 nt
Filed under: Bos indicus (zebu cattle)
Lineage: Eukaryota; Metazoa; Chordata; Mammalia; Artiodactyla; Bovidae
Rfam family: tRNA
About the family: Transfer RNA (tRNA) molecules are approximately 80 nucleotides in length. Their secondary structure includes four short double-helical elements and three loops (D, anti-codon, and T loops).
Source: Rfam by way of RNAcentral
UGGCUCAGCUGGUAAAGCAUUUGCCUGCAAUGCAGGAGACCUGGGUUCGAUUCCCUG